AGGAGAAAGCACCAUCCAUAAGUGGUUUGCUCUGUUUAGAAGCGGAAAUUUUCAUGUUGGAAGACGCAAAGCACUGGUCGUUCCUCAAACGUUGUUGAUGACGGUAUCAAGUUACGAAAAAGAAUAUAAGACAAAGUUCAGAUCUCAUGCCUAAUUUGUUAAACAGAUGGGUUAGUCUCGUACGUACUGAGGACAACUCGAAAUUAUGCUAGGAAUUUUGACUCUUACAAUCGAGACAAACUGUCUAUUAAGGGAUAAAAGCAACUAGCACCGGAAACUAACACAAAUAGAAUGCUCAAUUGACGAUGCGGUGAUAAUUGGACAAAAUCUACUGAAUACAACCAUCCAUCAAUAAAGGUGACAACAGACACUUCACAUCACCGGGAGGACAGAUGAUAAGAAAAACCAGUCAGCGCUGGCACUCAAUUUGUGGAAUUAAUAGACGAGGAAGUUAGUAGGGACAGUAAGAAGAAGGUUCCAUGAAAAUAACCUCAGGGCCCGGCACCCGGCCUUCUUACCACCGCUCAGAAAAUGGCCAGGCAUUCGCACGGGACCAUCCAAUUGGACAUUGGAAGAUUGGGAAGUUCUCUUUACAGAUGAGGUGAGAGUUGGCCUCAAAUUUCAGAUGGGUGUAAUUUCAUAUGGAGAUGUUCAGGAGAAAGGCAAGCUCUAUGCUGUUUGGUUCCCCAGGUAGCAUUCCACGGUGGGUCGUUGAUGUUCUGGUGUGGCAUUUCCUUGGACGACCGCACAGAAAUGGUUGUUGUGCGAGGAAGGUCUCUAACUUCACAGAGGCAUAAUUGAAUAACAUGUAGUGCCAUUUGCCAUCCACACCGGUGAGAGAUUCUGGCUAAUGCGGGAUAAUGCAUGGGGACUGGCAAGCAGCACUUGGGAGCACGUGUUGUGGACUUUUUUCAUGGACUACCUGAAUGUGGUUGGAAUCGAGCGCUUGGAGUAUUUUUGAUGAGGAAACACCCCCGUUUCGCUUAACAUCGGAACUGGGACCCAACAACACAAUCUCAUCCCGAAGGACCGUCUUUUUUGUCGGAAGUGUACUCUCUCCCUCAGGCCAAGGCGUGAUACUCCUACCAAGUGUGGAAACACUGAGCAACCUUUCUCUACAAGCGGGAAGCCUUCGAAGUUUCCCGAAAAAGCAGGUGUCCGUAAGCGUUUCAGACCUUCGGUAUAAAGUUAUAGGUCUACAAAAGAUUUGAAAAGAAUUUUUUUUCCGAAAAAAAAUGCCUGUAGUGAGGUUUUUAAAAAUGAAAAUUACGAUAUUUCAACGUUUCGGCGAUCCUACCAAAUUUUCAAGAAACAUUUUAUUUUCGAAUAUUGCAUAC
This 1337-nucleotide small RNA is filed under the name Cimex lectularius (bed bug). RNAcentral's name for it is "uncharacterized LOC106672730, transcript variant X2". The record is from RNAcentral. Lineage: Eukaryota; Metazoa; Arthropoda; Insecta; Hemiptera; Cimicidae.